GUGCCAGCCGCCGCGGUAAUACCGGCAGCCCGAGUGAUGACCGAUCUUAUUGGGCCUAAAGCGUCCGUAGCUGGCUACGCAAGUCCGUCGGGAAAUCCACUCGCCCAACGAGUGGGCGUCCGACGGAAACUGCAUAGCUUGGGACCGGAAGGCUCGAAGGGUACGUGCGGGGUAGGAGUGAAAUCCCAUAAUCCCGCACGGACCACCGAUGGCGAAAGCACUUCGAGAAGACGGCUUCGACAGUGAGGGACGAAAGCUCGGGUCUCAAACCGGAUUAGAAACCCGAGUAGUCC
This 293-nucleotide ribosomal RNA is filed under the name uncultured bacterium. Its description in RNAcentral is "partial 16S ribosomal RNA". It matches the Rfam family "Archaeal small subunit ribosomal RNA", at positions 455 to 747 of the family's 1478-position model. The record is from RNAcentral.